This is an RNA transcript of Otolemur garnettii (small-eared galago), 1296 nucleotides long. It is a transcript of the gene named keratin, type I cytoskeletal 18 pseudogene, with no coding region annotated. The transcript has a single exon. NCBI's taxonomy places the organism in Eukaryota, Metazoa, Chordata, Mammalia, Primates, Galagidae. The record is from RefSeq and is a predicted model, not a curated record.
AUGUCCUUCACCACUCAUUUCACCACCUUCUCCAGCAAUUACUGGUCCCUGGACUCAGUCUAGAUGCCCAGCUACAGUGUCCGGCCCGCCAGCAGAGCAGCCAGAGUCUAUGCAGACGUCCGGGACUCGGGCUCCCAGAUUUCCGUGUCCUGCUCCACCAGCUUCCAGGGCAGCUAGGGAUCUGGGGGCCUGGCCCUGGGGAUGGCCGGGGGUCUGACAGGAAUGGGGGGCUUCCAGACUGAGAAGGAGAUCAUACAAGAACUGAACGACCACCUGGCCUCCUACCUGGACAGAGUGAGGACCCUGGAGACUGAUAAUCAGAAACUGGAGAGCAAAAUCCAGAAACACCUGAAGAAAAAAGGGUCCCAGGUCAGAGACUGGGCGCAUUACUUCAAGACUAUGGAGGACCUGAGGGCUCAGAUCUUUGCAAAUUCUGUGGACAAUGCCCGCAUCACUCUGCAGAUUGACAAUGCCCAUCUUGCUGCUGAUGACUUUAGAGUCAAGUAUGAGACAGAACUGGUCAUGCACCAGUCUGUGGAGAGCGACAUCCAUGGGCUCUGCAAGGUCACUGAUGACACCAAUAUUACUCUCCUGCAGCUGGAGUCAGAGAUCGAGUCUCUCAAGGAGGAGCUGCUCUUCAUGAAGAAGAACCACGAGGAGGAAGUAAAAGCCCUACAAGCCCAGAUUGCCAGCUCUGGGUUGACUGUGGAAGUAGAUGCUCCCAAAUCCCAGGACCUGAGCAAGAUCAUGGCAGACAUGCGGGCCCAGUAUGAUGAGCUGGCUCUGAAGAGCCAAGAAGAGCUGGCCAAGACCUGGUCUCAGCAGACUGGGGAGAGCACCACAGUGGUCACCUCACAGUCUACUGAGGUCACAGCUGCUGGGACAAUGCUGAAAGAGCUGAUGAGUCCAGUCUAGUCCUUAGAGAUCGAAAUGGACUCUGCAAGAAAUCAGAAGUCCAGGUUGGAGAACAGCCUGAGGGAGGUGAAGGCCCACUACGCCAUGGAGAUGGGGAAUCUCAAGGGGGUCUUGCUGCAUUUGGGGUCAGAGUUGGCACAGACCUGGACAGAGGGGCAGCACCAGGCCCAGGAAUAUGAGGCACUGUUGAACAUCAAGGUCAAACUAGAGGCUGAGAUCGCCACCUACCGCCACCUGCUGGAAGAUGGGGAGGACUUCAACCUUGGUGAUGCCCUGGACAGCAGCAACCCCAUGCAAACCAUCCAAAAGACCACCACGCGCAGGAUAGUGGGGGACAAAGUGGUGUCUGAGACCAACGACACCAAAGUUCUGAGACACUGA